RNAcentral lists this unclassified non-coding RNA (108 nucleotides) under Enterococcus faecalis. RNAcentral describes it as "Pseudoknot of the domain G(G12) of 23S ribosomal RNA". It matches the Rfam family "Bacterial large subunit ribosomal RNA", at positions 2309 to 2416 of the family's 2925-position model. Lineage: Bacteria; Bacillati; Bacillota; Bacilli; Lactobacillales; Enterococcaceae. The record is from RNAcentral.
CCCAAAGGUUCCCUCAGAAUGGUUGGAAAUCAUUCGAAGAGUGUAAAGGCAGAAGGGAGCUUGACUGCGAGACCUACAAGUCGAGCAGGGACGAAAGUCGGGCUUAGU